RNAcentral lists this ribosomal RNA (439 nucleotides) under uncultured bacterium. RNAcentral's name for it is "partial 16S ribosomal RNA". It matches the Rfam family "Bacterial small subunit ribosomal RNA", at positions 339 to 795 of the family's 1533-position model. The record is from RNAcentral.
CUACGGGUUACUGCAGUGGGGAAUAUUGCACAAUGGAGGAAACUCUGAUGCAGCAACGCCGCGUGGAGGAUGACACUUUUCGGAGCGUAAACUCCUUUUAUAUAGGAAGAAGAUGACGGUACUAUAUGAAUAAGCGCCGGCUAACUCCGUGCCAGCAGCCGCGGUAAUACGGAGGGCGCAAGCGUUACUCGGAAUCACUGGGCGUAAAGAGCGUGUAGGCGGAUUAAAAAGUCAGAAGUGAAAUCCUAUAGCUUAACUAUAGAACUGCUUCUGAAACUCUUAAUCUAGAAUAUGGGAGAGGUAGAUGGAAUUUCUGGUGUAGGGGUAAAAUCCGUAGAGAUCAGAAGGAAUACCGAUUGCGAAGGCGGUCUACUAGAACAUUAUUGACGCUGAGACGCGAAAGCGUGGGGAGCAAACAGGAUUAGAUACCCUUGUAGUC